This 434-nucleotide ribosomal RNA is filed under the name Simulium mirum. RNAcentral describes it as "partial 12S ribosomal RNA". The record is from RNAcentral. Lineage: Eukaryota; Metazoa; Arthropoda; Insecta; Diptera; Simuliidae.
AAAAAUAAAAUUAAUUUUAAUUUUUUAAGUGAAAUUUUAAAUUUAAUUAAUUUUAUAACAAAAAUUUUAAUGAAGCUAAAAAAUUUUAAUAAUAAACUAGGAUUAGAUACCCUAUUAUUUAAAAAGUAAAUUUAUAUACUUGAGUAGUAAUAGAUAUGAUCUUCAAACUUAAAGAAUUUGGCGGUGUUUUAGUCUAUUUAGAGGAACCUGUCCUGUAAUCGAUAAUCCACGUUGGACCUUACUAAAAUUUGUUGUCAAUUUGUAUAUCGCCGUUAUCAGAAUAUCUUAAAAGAGGAAUAAUUUUCUUAAUUUAUAAUUAUAAUUGAUGUCAGGUCAAGGUGCAGUUUAUAUUUUAGUAGAGAUGGGUUACAAUAAAUUUAUUUAUACAUUAAAUUGUUUGAAAUAAUGAUUUUAAGGUGGAUUUAAAAGUAAAA